UACAGAGGGUGCAAGCGUUGUUCGGAAUUAUUGGGCGUAAAGGGCGCGUAGGCGGCCUGCUAAGUCGAACGUGAAAUCCCUGGGCUCAACCCAGGAACUGCGUCCGAUACUGGUUGGCUUGAAUCCGGGAGAGGGAUGUGGAAUUCCAGGUGUAGCGGUGAAAUGCGUAGAUAUCUGGAGGAACACCGGUGGCGAAGGCGACAUCCUGGACCGGUAUUGACGCUGAGGCGCGAAAGCCAGGGGAGCAAACGGG
RNAcentral lists this ribosomal RNA (253 nucleotides) under uncultured bacterium. Its description in RNAcentral is "partial 16S ribosomal RNA". It matches the Rfam family "Bacterial small subunit ribosomal RNA", at positions 524 to 776 of the family's 1533-position model. The record is from RNAcentral.